This is a transfer RNA of Melampsora larici-populina 98AG31, 91 nucleotides long. It matches the Rfam family "tRNA". From Rfam's summary of the family: Transfer RNA (tRNA) molecules are approximately 80 nucleotides in length. Their secondary structure includes four short double-helical elements and three loops (D, anti-codon, and T loops). Further hydrogen bonds mediate the characteristic L-shaped molecular structure. tRNAs have two regions of fundamental functional importance: the anti-codon, which is responsible for specific mRNA codon recognition, and the 3' end, to which the tRNAs corresponding amino acid is attached (by aminoacyl-tRNA synthetases). tRNAs cope with the degeneracy of the genetic code in two manners: having more than one tRNA (with a specific anti-codon) for a particular amino acid; and 'wobble' base-pairing, i.e. permitting non-standard base-pairing at the 3rd anti-codon position. Lineage: Eukaryota; Fungi; Basidiomycota; Pucciniomycetes; Pucciniales; Melampsoraceae. The record is from Rfam.
GGGAGCAUAGUGUAGUGGCUAUCACGCUUCAUUUGCAUUCAUGAUUCAUCGCAUCUUGAAGAGGUCCCGGGUUCAAUCCCCGGUGCUUCCA